RNAcentral lists this unclassified non-coding RNA (567 nucleotides) under Cinnagrostis chrysophylla. RNAcentral describes it as "partial external transcibed spacer". The record is from RNAcentral. Lineage: Eukaryota; Viridiplantae; Streptophyta; Magnoliopsida; Poales; Poaceae.
GCAUGAGCWGUUUUGGACCCGUGUCUGUCGGUAGAUCCCCCGUCCUCGUGCGGCCGACUACCGACGCCGUGUCCCGUCAUUCGUGUGGCAUAUGCCGCUGUUGCCUUUGAAGUGCUUGUGUGCCGGUACCCGACCUACGGGAAUUGGUGCUUYGUACACGGUUGCCUCGCGGUGGACGCCUUCGGGCGUGCCGCUGYGGCCAAGUGGCGCUUGCGGCGUUGCCUCGUGGUGCUGGCACAUUUACGUGUCUGGUGCCAUCAAGGCAGCCUCGCUCGCGUUUUUGGUUUCGGAUGUUGCUCACGAUAGAGGAUYAUGGCCCUUUUGGUUGCCUAGACCCGAACCUACAAAGCUCUCUGAACCCGAACGUGUCGUGGAACGGGAUGUUGCCUCUGCCUCUCCGCAGUUAGUGGUAGGAUACGCAACAUCCUGGGCCGAUGCUAGUAAKACGUAGGGGAGCUUGGCCCGCUCAAUUGCGACAACCRGCUCGGCUGCUGUCUGCCUUCACGGGCGGAUGGCUACCGACGCUGGACGUCAAAGAGGACGUGCUACCUGGUUGAUCCUGCCAGU